This 501-nucleotide ribosomal RNA is filed under the name Uroteuthis chinensis. RNAcentral's name for it is "partial large subunit ribosomal RNA". It matches the Rfam family "Bacterial large subunit ribosomal RNA", at positions 1807 to 2562 of the family's 2925-position model. The record is from RNAcentral. Lineage: Eukaryota; Metazoa; Mollusca; Cephalopoda; Myopsida; Loliginidae.
CCAAAAACAUCUCUCUUUGUAUAAUAUAAAUAAAGAGUUGGGCCUGCUCGGUGAAACGUUUUAACAGCUGCGGUAUUUUAACUGUACUAAGGUAGCAUAAUAAUUUGCCUUAUAAUUUGAGGCUAGAAUGAAUGGUUUGACGAAGGUUAAUCUGUCUCUGCUUUAUUUUUUAGAAAUUAAUUUUCAUAGUGAAAAAGCUUGAAUUUCUUAAGGGGACGAGAAGACCCUACUGAGCUUAUAAUUUUAUUAUCACAUAUAUUUAUGUAUAAUGUGCUAUAUAAAUUUUAAUUGGGGUGAUUAAGGAAUAAUAUAGCUAUUUUAUAACUUCCUUAGAUAUUAUAUUGUUGAAUUAAGUAACCGAUUAAUUAAUAGAAUUGUAUUAUGUAUUGCUUAUAAUAUAGUUACCAUAGGGAUAACAGCGUAAUUUACUUAGAGAGUUCUUAUUGAAAAGUAAGAUUGCGACCUCGAUGUUGGAUUAAAGUGACCUUAAGGUGCAGAAGC